ACGUGUUGAUGACACGCAGCUGGAGCACCCUUCUGAUAAACCUCAGCAGUGUAAUGUGGUUUGAAAGGUGGGAUUUUAUUGAAAUCACCUCCAGCCAUGACGAAGAGACGUGUAACACUAUAAAUCUCUAAAAGGUGUCCACUGUUUCACGAUGGAAGCUUCUUUAAAGGGAUUUCAGCGCUGCGCAUCUUGAGUUGACAAACAACAAGGCGACAUCAUGUCCGAGCCCGCAUCACUUCCAUCAUCCUCCGUGUCGUCGCCAUCUGCUCUAACACCUGAACACCUGCUCGAAGCGCCGCGUCCACCCACCUGGUCGAGGCCCACCGCCGCCUCCAGUCCUCCCCGCGGCUCCUCACUGGUUCUCCAUGAUGAGCCCGUCAGCCCCACAGGUUACACACCGGUUCGUCACUCGGGUUCAUCGGUUCCACGCUGGUUCUGAAUCUGUGCCGAGAAAACACGAGCAGUGUCGAGUCAGCGGAAAUAUACGACAUCCGGCCAGAGAUCUUCACAAUAAAACUCAGAUUUUUGAGAUAUUUUUGAUUGUAUUUAUCUAAGAACAUUGUUUUAUUCCUGACGGUUAAAUCCAUUUGAUUAGUUUUUAAUUUAUUUUACUUAUGUUAGUAGGCAGGGUGUUAGGGUGACGUGGUGUUCUGUCACAAAGAGGGUGAGGGGUUGUUAGAGGAAGACUUUUUAUUUUUAUUUUAAAAAAAAAAUCUUGGUACAUUUAUUUGUACUUUUUUGAGCAAAACUGGUUUCCGAAUAAAACAAAAAAACUACUUGCA
Acanthopagrus latus (yellowfin seabream) is the source of this 782-nucleotide long non-coding RNA. RefSeq lists it as uncharacterized. The transcript has 2 exons. NCBI's taxonomy places the organism in Eukaryota, Metazoa, Chordata, Actinopteri, Spariformes, Sparidae. The record is from RefSeq and is a predicted model, not a curated record.